GAGGAGGUAGCCAACACUGUUUUUUAUUUGUUUGUUUUUUUUUUUUUGUGUUUUAAUUGGGGUAGCCCCCAAAAUAUUGGGACAUAUAUAAAAGACAACUCUGUUGCGCAGGCACUUUGUUGACUCUAGAGAACCUCGGGCCAAUCGCACAUCCCUGUGACGGCGACUUUGCAUUUGGAUGUCAUCCAUAUCAACUUUCAAUGCCAGUUUCUGCAUCUAUCAUGGUGACCACGGGUAACGGGGAAUCAGGAUUCCAUUCCAUACAGGGACCCUGAGAAACGGCUACCACAUGCAAGGAAGGCAGCAGGCGCGCAAAUGACCCACUCCCGACGUGGGAAGGUAGUGAC
Molecule: ribosomal RNA, 347 nt
Filed under: Pelobates cultripes (western spadefoot toad)
Lineage: Eukaryota; Metazoa; Chordata; Amphibia; Anura; Pelobatidae
Description: SSU_rRNA_microsporidia
Rfam family: Eukaryotic small subunit ribosomal RNA
Source: RNAcentral